UUUUUUUCUAAAUGCCUGAGCAGCUUCAUCAUCUUGAUUCGUGUUCGAAUUUCUUGGAAGCUGGUGGCAACUAACCUAAAUUGCUGCAAAAGUUACAAGGACAUGGAAACAUUUUUUAAAUUCUGGAAUUAAAAGAGACAGCUUGUUUUGUCAAUAUUUCCACAGACUAGGCCACUGCAGGGGCCACUGCAGCUGGCCAGGGUGAAGUUGGCUGUGCAUACAGGUCCAGAGUUUUCACUAUGUUGUAUUCCAGGUAGUUGCCCCUUUGCUACCGUUUAUAGGUUUGCUACCAUGAACUGGCAGGUGAAAAAUAGUGUUUGAAGAGGUGAAGCAGCCCUGAGCAGACCAGGAGCACCAUGAUCAGCUUACUCAAUUUCUAUUCCGAGCAAGGAAUGUCAUUACUUUAAAUACUGUGUUCUGGUUGCUAAGGAAACCAAAUAAGUGGGUUGCUAACACAAUCUUAGAACUUUCUAUGAAGAUUAAAGCACUUUGCUCUAGCUAAAGAGCAGAUGGGAGAGUCAUAGAUGGAACCCAUAUUUCUCACUACGUGGGGGAGGGUUAGGCCGGGGAAAAGAUGAAGAGUUUUUCAUUUGUGAGAAGAAGAUAAAAUUUGUAGCUCUUGGCUAUUUAACAAAUAGUCGUUAUUUGCUAAAUCAAUCAAGAUAGGGGUUUAAAUCUGGCUUCCAGUUCCAUUUCCACUACUAAUUUUUUUGUUGUCAAUGUAUUGAAGUCAGUGCAAAGUCUGGGAAGUCAGUUAUGGGAUAGAAAAUAGUUGCGUUUUAGUUGGCCCAUUCCUUUUGGUCAUUCUUAUAAAAUAUUUUAAGUACAUAAAAAGCUCUACACAAUUAAGGAAAAGUCGUGUUGAUUAAAGCACAGCAUAGGCUAAAAAAAUGCAAAGUGGUCAGUCUUGCUUUGUUACUUUCAUAGCCUCUCUACUUUCUGCAUACCUGCAUACCGCGCACCUGCGCCACUCUGCUUUCUCCGGCCUCCAGUUCAAAUUUUAGCAGGGGUUGGAGCAGUAAGAACUAAGGUGAUCAGCUUAAUUGCCAUGACCCAUUCUGGGGACAGGACCCUUCCAGGCCACCCUGAGGGUGCUGGCAGUCUUUGGCUAUGGUAGCCUUAGGAAAGUGCCCAGCUCACAUCCAACUCAUGACCAUCCUUGACCAAAAAAUGGCCUCACCAUUUCCCUAAAGAGCCAAGUUAUGAUUCACCCAGUACAUCCCCUGAUAGAAGAGGAAAUCAAGAACCAGAGAUUCCAGGGGCUUGCCCAAUAUUAGAGAAUAGAGAAACAAGAAUUCAGGCCUUCCCAAACCCCAGUACUGUCAAAGCAUCCAGGAUUGCUUCUGGUGGUGCUCCUCCUAUGCAUCUGCAUGUCUUCUACCCCUGGGCAGAGCUUGGUAUGUUUUUUAAUGUGUAAAACCACAAUAAAUGUAUCAUCUCUAGAGAUAAAAGAACUGGGGGUGGGAAUCACAUGAGUGUAAAAUGUUGGACAUCAUCUCAAUUUUAGAGGUUGGCAAACCAUUUCUGUAAAGGGCCAGAGAAUAAAUAUCUCAGGCUUUGCAGGCCGUAUAAAUCUCUCACCUCUGCAUCGUAGCACUGAAGCAACCAUGGACAAUAUGUAAAUAAUGUGUGGCUGUGUUCUAACAAAACUUUAUUGACAAAAAGAGGCUGCUGGGCAGAGUUGGCCCACAGGCUAUAAGGCAAUAGUUUGCUGAUCACCUUAUCUAGAAGAUUACAUCAUUUAAUUGGUACACUUUAUUAGGAAAAGAGAAAAUUAAGAAAAUGGUUUUAUCUUUCUUGGUCAUCAUGGUGUUUUGAGUAUUUGUAAAAUAGGAACACAGUAAUUUCUUACCUUUCUAAUUACAGAUGUUACAGGAUUUGUUAGAAGUUCACCAUUUUCCUUACAAUAUUGGCUUUAAGAAGGGGGAAGCAAGGAAAAGGAACAAUGAGAGGGAUGAUGACCUCUAAUAUUUCUGUGAUUGAGAAGCCAAUAUUUUAAAAGUUUUCCCUCUUUUUAUCCAGAGCUAACAAACAUUAACUGCUUUAAUUUCAAUUCAUUACUCCAUUCUCAAGCUGAGGGUUUACAAGGGAAUGAAAUUCUCUAACUCAGUUAAACAGAGAGAAGACUGAGAAGUGAAGGGUGAAAACAAUUACCUGGAGAAAUCUGCACAAGGAAGUAGGAACUGCCUUACUCACAUCACUCAUCUCCUGGUAGAUGAGGAUGCAACUGACACUGCCUCCCAUCAGAGGCCUACCAUGGGAAUGCUGUGGCUAUUAUCUGCUCCCUCUGGGUAAUUCAAAGCCAUGGCUAGAUGAAGCACUCAUUCCUUCCACAGAAACCUAUUACGCCAGCCUCCAAAACCAUAGCUCACCAGAUCACAAUUCCAUUCUUUGGUUGGUUCCUCAGCAAUUACAUGAAGAACAUCAUGCUCAGCCAGAAGCUCCAAAUUUCACGCAGCUCAUUAUCUUAUUUGCUCCGAUCCUCUGCUUCCAACUGAAACCUUAGAUACAGGUACAGCCAGUUUAUAGUCGCACAAUUAUCCAACCCAUUUCUGCAAGAGUAAGGGUCACCUUGCUUGCCACAUGGUUGCCAAAUAAUUACUCAAAGUGUCAAAAUGGAAGGAGUGGGAAGGGAGAAAUACAGAGAUUGAGACUGGGUCCAGAACUGAAACACCUCCCAUUUCCCAAACCAUAUUUGGCUCUGCAACCACAAGGCUGCCACUGAUGCCUAACACAUAAGCCAAGUGUAAUAUUUCAUGACAAUAACAUCAGAAGAACCCAAACUAAGCCAAAAGUACUGACUGAAUUGCUAAUCUAGAAAUUUCACGUGACCUAUUCACCAUGU
RNAcentral lists this long non-coding RNA (2845 nucleotides) under Macaca fascicularis (crab-eating macaque). RNAcentral describes it as "lncRNA (ENSMFAG00000058574.1)". The record is from RNAcentral. Lineage: Eukaryota; Metazoa; Chordata; Mammalia; Primates; Cercopithecidae.